UUUAUGGAGAGUUUGAUCCUGGCUCAGAGUGAACGCUGGCGGCGUGCCUAAUACAUGCAAGUCGAACGAUGAAGCUUCUAGCUUGCUAGAAUGCUGAUUAGUGGCGCACGGGUGAGUAACGCAUAGGUCAUGUGCCUCUUAGUUUGGGAUAGCCAUUGGAAACGAUGAUUAAUACCAGAUACUCCCUACGGGGGAAAGAUUUAUCGCUAAGAGAUCAGCCUAUGUCCUAUCAGCUUGUUGGUAAGGUAAUGGCUUACCAAGGCUAUGACGGGUAUCCGGCCUGAGAGGGUGAACGGACACACUGGAACUGAGACACGGUCCAGACUCCUACGGGAGGCAGCAGUAGGGAAUAUUGCUCAAUGGGGGAAACCCUGAAGCAGCAACGCCGCGUGGAGGAUGAAGGUUUUAGGAUUGUAAACUCCUUUUGUUAGAGAAGAUAAUGACGGUAUCUAACGAAUAAGCACCGGCUAACUCCGUGCCAGCAGCCGCGGUAAUACGGAGGGUGCAAGCGUUACUCGGAAUCACUGGGCGUAAAGAGCGCGUAGGCGGGAUAGUCAGUCAGGUGUGAAAUCCUAUGGCUUAACCAUAGAACUGCAUUUGAAACUACUAUUCUAGAGUGUGGGAGAGGUAGGUGGAAUUCUUGGUGUAGGGGUAAAAUCCGUAGAGAUCAAGAGGAAUACUCAUUGCGAAGGCGACCUGCUGGAACAUUACUGACGCUGAUUGCGCGAAAGCGUGGGGAGCAAACAAGAUUAGAUACCCUGGUAGUCCACGCCCUAAACGAUGGAUGCUAGUUGUUGGAGGGCUUAGUCUCUCCAGUAAUGCAGCUAACGCAUUAAGCAUCCCGCCUGGGGAGUACGGUCGCAAGAUUAAAACUCAAAGGAAUAGACGGGGACCCGCACAAGCGGUGGAGCAUGUGGUUUAAUUCGAAGAUACACGAAGAACCUUACCUAGGCUUGACAUUGAGAGAAUCCGCUAGAAAUAGUGGAGUGUCUGGCUUGCCAGACCUUGAAAACAGGUGCUGCACGGCUGUCGUCAGCUCGUGUCGUGAGAUGUUGGGUUAAGUCCCGCAACGAGCGCAACCCCCUUUCUUAGUUGCUAACAGGUUAUGCUGAGAACUCUAAGGAUACUGCCUCCGUAAGGAGGAGGAAGGUGGGGACGACGUCAAGUCAUCAUGGCCCUUACGCCUAGGGCUACACACGUGCUACAAUGGGGUGCACAAAGAGAAGCAAUACUGCGAAGUGGAGCCAAUCUUCAAAACACCUCUCAGUUCGGAUUGUAGGCUGCAACUCGCCUGCAUGAAGCUGGAAUCGCUAGUAAUCGCAAAUCAGCCAUGUUGCGGUGAAUACGUUCCCGGGUCUUGUACUCACCGCCCGUCACACCAUGGGAGUUGUGUUUGCCUUAAGUCAGGAUGCUAAAUUGGCUACUGCCCACGGCACACACAGCGACUGGGGUGAAGUCGUAACAAGGUAACCGUAGGUGAACCUGCGGUUGGAUCACCUCCUUUCUAGA
Molecule: ribosomal RNA, 1509 nt
Filed under: Helicobacter pylori
Lineage: Bacteria; Pseudomonadati; Campylobacterota; Epsilonproteobacteria; Campylobacterales; Helicobacteraceae
Description: bacterial SSU rRNA
Rfam family: Bacterial small subunit ribosomal RNA
Source: RNAcentral